UAAUCACUGUCUUCCCCGAUAGGAGGGAAAAGAGGGGAGAAAAGAAGACGGGACUGAUGAUGGACCUGAGCCCCAGGACCAUGCCUCAGGACUACGUGGCAUGGUGACUCCUUGCUGUCCCCAGUCCACCUGGCCGUGCUGCUGCUCCAGUUUCAACUGUUCUGCCUGCGGCUAUGGAACCCUGACCUGUUCACUGGACGUGCUACCUGUCCCAGACCUGCUGUUUUCAACUCUCUAGAGACAGCAGGAGAGUGUCCCACAUGGUCAUUGAAGAGGUCAACAGCAUUCAAGAGUACCUGGACAUAGAGAGGACAUGCAGACAGAGUGUGGAAGCC
Long non-coding RNA from Oncorhynchus tshawytscha (Chinook salmon), 335 nucleotides. Lineage: Eukaryota; Metazoa; Chordata; Actinopteri; Salmoniformes; Salmonidae. The record is from Ensembl.